AGGCUAAACUUCAGUCCUAAACCGCCCUAAAUUCGUCCCAAGAACUUUCGAACACUCACACGAACUCACGAGGAAAUAGUAAGAAAGACACAAGAUUUUGGGAGGCCCGAAGAGCCAAUUUUCAGAUUAUAUUUCUUGAAUAUUUUGAGUGAAUGAUCUGCCCAAGAGGGCCUUUACAAGCUAUAUAUAAUGCCCCUUAGUCAAGGGAUACAAUUAAUGCUAGUCAACAUUAC
RNAcentral lists this long non-coding RNA (233 nucleotides) under Capsicum annuum. Its description in RNAcentral is "long non-coding RNA (CANN_LNC020960)". The record is from RNAcentral. Lineage: Eukaryota; Viridiplantae; Streptophyta; Magnoliopsida; Solanales; Solanaceae.